GACGAACGCUGGCGGCGUGCUUAACACAUGCAAGUCGAACGGAAAGGCCCUGCUCUUGUGGGGUGCUCGAGUGGCGAACGGGUGAGUAACACGUGAGUAACCUGCCCUUGACUUUGGGAUAACUUCAGGAAACUGGGGCUAAUACCGGAUAGGAGCUCCUGCUGCAUGGUGGGGGUUGGAAAGUUUCGGCGGUUGGGGAUGGACUCGCGGCUUAUCAGCUUGUUGGUGGGGUAGUGGCUUACCAAGGCUUUGACGGGUAGCCGGCCUGAGAGGGUGAACGGGCACAAGGGGACUAAGGGACGGAGCAGAAUCCAACGGGCGGCAGCGGUGGAGAGUAUUGCACAGCGGGGGGGAGCCAGAUACGAAGGCGCCGCGUGCGGGAUGACGGCCUUCGGGUUGUGAACCGCUUUCGCCUGUGACGAAGCGUGAGUGACGGUAAUGGGUAAAGAAGCACCGGCUAACUACGUG
This 468-nucleotide ribosomal RNA is filed under the name uncultured bacterium. Its description in RNAcentral is "partial 16S ribosomal RNA". It matches the Rfam family "Bacterial small subunit ribosomal RNA", at positions 28 to 507 of the family's 1533-position model. The record is from RNAcentral.